MicroRNA precursor from Cyanoderma ruficeps (rufous-capped babbler), 73 nucleotides. The record is from Ensembl. NCBI's taxonomy places the organism in Eukaryota, Metazoa, Chordata, Aves, Passeriformes, Timaliidae.
GGUUUUUGUCUUUGGUUAUCUAGCUGUAUGAGUGUAUGUGAUAUCAUAAAGCUAGAGAACCGAAUGUAAAAAC